AGAGUUUGAUCCUGGCUCAAGAUGAACGUUGGCGGUGUGCCUAAUACAUGCAAGUCGAACGGUGACUAUUUUGUAGCAAUACGAAUGAAAUCAUAGUGGCGAACGGGUGAGUAACGCGUUGGUGAUCUGCCUCGAAGUGUGGAAUAACUUCCCGAAAGGGUAGCUAAUACCGCAUACUCUCUCAAGGUUUAAAAAAUUGAGAGUAAAGGAUUUAUUCGCUUCGAGAGGAGCCUGCGUCCCAUCAGCUAGUUGGUAGGGUAAUAGCCUACCAAGGCAAUGACGGGUAGGGGACCUGAGAGGGUGGCCCCCCACAAUGGAACUGAAACACGGUCCAUACACCUACGGGUGGCAGCAGUAGGGAAUAUUAGAAAUGGGCGAAAGCCUGAUCUAGCAACACCGCGUGUGCGAUGAAGGCCUUCGGGUUGUAAAGCACUUUUUGGAGGGAAUAGGAAGGAAGGUACCUCCAGAAUAAGUCUCGGCUAACUACGUGCCAGCAGCCGCGGUAACACGUAGGAGGCAAACGUUAUCCGGAUUCACUGGGCGUAAAGCGCGUGUAGGUGGUUCUGUAAGUAGGGCGUGAAAGCUCCCGGCUCAACUGGGAGAGGCCGUACUAAACUGCAGAGCUAGAGGAUGGUAGAGGGAGGUGGAAUUCCAGGUGUAGUGGUGAAAUGCGCAGAUAUCUGGAGGAACACCAGUGGCGAAGGCGGCCUCCUGGACCAUUCCUGACACUCAGACGCGAAAGCUAGGGUAGCAAACGGAAUUAGAGACUCCGGUAGUCCUAGCCCUAAACGACGCAGAAUAGGCGUCGGCGGUUAAUCACCGUCGGUGUUCAAGCUAACGCGAUAAGUCUGCCGCCUGAGGACUACGGCGCAAAGGCUAAAACUCAAAGGAAUUGACGGGUCCCCGCACAAGCAGCGGAGCGUGUGGUUUAAUUCGAUGCUCCGCGAAGAACCUUACCUGGGUUUGACAUAACAGUGGUAGAGAAGUGAAAACGGAUCGACCCUUCGGGGAGCUGUUACAGGUGUUGCAUGCCUGUCGUCAGCUCGUGUCGUGAGAUGUUCGGUUAAGUCCGCUAACGAGCGCAACCCGCGCUGUGUGUUACAAGUGUCACACAGUACCGCCGGUAUUAAGUCGGAGGAAGGUGCGGAUGACGUCAAGUCAGCAUGACCUUUAUAUCCAGGGCUACACACACGCUACAAUGGUCAGAACAAUAGGUUGCCAAGCCGCAAGGCGGAGCCAAUCCUCCAAAUCUGGCCUCAGUUCAGAUUGCAGGCUGCAACUCGCCUGCAUGAAGUCGGAGUUGCUAGUAACCGCAGGUCAGCAUACUGCGGUGAAUACGUUCCCGGGGAUUGUACACACCGCCCGUCA
RNAcentral lists this ribosomal RNA (1368 nucleotides) under uncultured bacterium. RNAcentral's name for it is "16S ribosomal RNA". It matches the Rfam family "Bacterial small subunit ribosomal RNA". The record is from RNAcentral.